This 71-nucleotide transfer RNA is filed under the name Kozhantshikovia vernalis. RNAcentral's name for it is "tRNA-Cys". Lineage: Eukaryota; Metazoa; Arthropoda; Insecta; Lepidoptera; Psychidae. The record is from RNAcentral.
AAUCUUAUAUUCAAUGUAAUAUGAUAUUAAAUUGCAAAUUUAAAGUAAUAGUUAAUAAAUUAUUAAGAUUU